CUUCACCACACCUGAAAAUCAACAAAAUCCCUUCCUUCAGAUCGCAAAAACUCAACUAAAGAUCAGCAAAAAACCUAACCAUUUUCAGAAAAUACACAAAUCUGUGCAAACUCUUCACAGAAAAAUUGAAUUCAACAAACAUAAAACACAUCAAAAACCAUACACAACAAAGAAAACAAACAAACAUUCCAGCAAAACCUCACCUUUUUUUUCCAAAUCUGUGCAGACCCUUUACAGGAAAAAACACACAAAUCGCAUAUACAUCAAAGAAAACAACCAAAAGUUCAGCAAAACAUUACAUUUUUAUGCAAAUCUCUGAAUUCCCUUUACAGCAAAAACGAUUUCAACCACAAAAAAUCAGCAAAAUCAUACCUUUUUAUACAAAUCUAAUGAAUACCCUUUACAGAAAAAACGAUUUCAAGAACUAUAAAACACUCAAAAAACCAAAAAAAAAAAAAAAAAAAAAACAGCAAAAUCUCACCAUUUUAUACAAAUCUAAUGAAUACCCUUUACAAAAAUCAGCAAAAUCUUACCUUUUGAUACAAAUCUAAUCAAUACCCUUUACAGAAAAAAAAAAAUCAAGAACCAUAAAACACCCCAAAAAAACAAAAAAUAAAUAAAAUAGCAAAAAUCUCACCAUUUUACACAAAUCUAUGGAUACCCUUUAACAAAAAUCAGCAAAAUCAUACCUUUUUAUACAAAUCUAAUAAAUACCCUUCACAUAAAAAAAAUCGAGUUCAAGAACCACAUAACACAAAAAUAUACAUAAAAUAUACACAAAAAAUUUACCUUUUUAAUGAAAAAUCAGAUGCACCGCCAUUGAAAAAGGAUAAAAAUAGGAAAAGGGGAAAAAAAAAAAAAAAAGGGUUAAUAGCCCUAGAAAAAAAUUACAUAUUGGAUUCUUCAAUAGGCAAAGUUUAAUGGUGUGGGCUUUCUGGAUAUUAUUUUUUAUUUUUCUUUGCCAUUCUGUAUCUCUCACUCAGUCCAUUUUUGUAACUCACUGACUU
Molecule: long non-coding RNA, 1007 nt
Filed under: Capsicum annuum
Lineage: Eukaryota; Viridiplantae; Streptophyta; Magnoliopsida; Solanales; Solanaceae
Description: long non-coding RNA (CANN_LNC016739)
Source: RNAcentral